This is a small nucleolar RNA of Panicum hallii, 104 nucleotides long. The record is from RefSeq and is a predicted model, not a curated record. Lineage: Eukaryota; Viridiplantae; Streptophyta; Magnoliopsida; Poales; Poaceae.
AUCCCAUGAUGAGGAUAGGCGAGAAUGUACUCUUGCAGUCUCUUCCAAGCUUCUAGGAUGGAUUCCAUCCCUAUCUGCUGGAAGCUUGAUAUUUUCCUGUGCAA